RNAcentral lists this transfer RNA (173 nucleotides) under Chloroflexota bacterium. Its description in RNAcentral is "Chloroflexi bacterium (groundwater metagenome) tRNA-Ala". Lineage: Bacteria; Bacillati; Chloroflexota. The record is from RNAcentral.
GGGGAUGUAGCUCACGAUGGCACAUCCACAAUGCAAUGCAAAGCAUUGCGUCAAUGAUGUGCCAUCGGGGAGAGCGCUUUGUUCGCAACGAAGAGGUCGUGAGUUCCGAUGGAACGACUAUAGCGCACUGCGAAGCAAUGCGUGAAUGACGUUCCAUCGUCUCAUCAUCUCCA